This 479-nucleotide ribosomal RNA is filed under the name uncultured bacterium. Its description in RNAcentral is "SSU rRNA". It matches the Rfam family "Bacterial small subunit ribosomal RNA", at positions 26 to 523 of the family's 1533-position model. The record is from RNAcentral.
AGAAUCAACGCUGGCGGCGUGCCUAACACAUGCAAGUCGAACGAGAAAGUGGAGCAAUCCAUGAGUAAAGUGGCGACCGGGUGAGUAACACGUGACUAACCUACCCUAGAGUGGGGAAUAACUUCGGGAAACCGAGGCUAAUACCGCAUAACAUCGCAGAGGGAAGCUCUUUGCGAUCAAAGGAGCAAUUCGCUCAAGGAGGGGGUCGCGGCUGAUUAGUUAGUUGGUGAGGUAACGGCUCACCAAGACAAAGAUCAGUAUCCGGCCUGAGAGGGCGCACGGACACACUGGAACUGAAACACGGUCCAGACUCCUACGGGAGGCAGCAGUGGGGAAUUUUGCGCAAUGGGGAAACCCUGACGCAGCAACGCCGCGUGGAGGAUGAAGUCCCUUGGGAUGUAAACUCCUUUCGAUCGGGACGAUUAUGACGGUACCGGAAGAAGAAGCACCGGCUAACUCUGCGCCAGCAGCCGCGGUAA